ACAACAAUUAGACCGUCGGUCUACCGAUCAAUGUAACCCGCGCAGUAGAAGACCUUCCCUUCGUCGU
This 67-nucleotide microRNA precursor is filed under the name Bombyx mori (domestic silkworm). RNAcentral describes it as "mir-2774 microRNA precursor family". It matches the Rfam family "mir-2774 microRNA precursor family". The record is from Rfam by way of RNAcentral. Lineage: Eukaryota; Metazoa; Arthropoda; Insecta; Lepidoptera; Bombycidae.